Molecule: non-coding RNA, 30 nt
Filed under: Mus musculus (house mouse)
Lineage: Eukaryota; Metazoa; Chordata; Mammalia; Rodentia; Muridae
Source: RNAcentral
UUCAUGGGCAAAUGAAAAUCUAAGAGAAAA